RNAcentral lists this ribosomal RNA (443 nucleotides) under uncultured bacterium. Its description in RNAcentral is "partial 16S ribosomal RNA". It matches the Rfam family "Bacterial small subunit ribosomal RNA", at positions 338 to 795 of the family's 1533-position model. The record is from RNAcentral.
CCUACGGGGGGCAGCAGUGGGGGAUAUUGGACAAUGGGGGAAACCCUGAUCCAGCGACGCCGCGUGAGUGAAGAAGUAUUUCGGUAUGUAAAGCUCUAUCAGCAGGGAAGAAAGAAAUGACGGUACCUGAGUAAGAAGCCCCGGCUAACUACGUGCCAGCAGCCGCGGUAAUACGUAGGGGGCAAGCGUUAUCCGGAUUUACUGGGUGUAAAGGGAGCGUAGACGGCAGCGCAAGUCUGGAGUGAAAUGCCGGGGCCCAACCCCGGAACUGCUCUGGAAACUGUGAAGCUGGAGUGCAGGAGAGGUAAGCGGAAGUCCUGGUGUAGCGGUGAAAUGCGUAGAUAUCAGGAGGAACACCGGCGGCGAAGGCGGCUUACUGGACUGUAACUGACGUUGAGGCUCGAAGGCGUGGGGAGCAAACAGGAUUAGAUACCCCUGUAGUC